This 253-nucleotide ribosomal RNA is filed under the name uncultured bacterium. RNAcentral describes it as "partial 16S ribosomal RNA". It matches the Rfam family "Bacterial small subunit ribosomal RNA", at positions 524 to 776 of the family's 1533-position model. The record is from RNAcentral.
CACGUAGGGCGCAAGCGUUGUUCGGAAUUACUGGGCGUAAAGGGCUCGUAGGCGGCCAACUAAGUCAUACGUGAAAUCCCUCGGCUUAACCGGGGAACUGCGUCUGAUACUGGAUGGCUUGAGUUCGGGAGAGGGAUGCGGAAUUCCAGGUGUAGCGGUGAAAUGCGUAGAUAUCUGGAGGAACACCGGUGGCGAAGGCGGCAUCCUGGACCGAUACUGACGCUGAGGAGCGAAAGCCAGGGGAGCAAACGGG